This 231-nucleotide unclassified non-coding RNA is filed under the name Hevea brasiliensis (rubber tree). The record is from RNAcentral. Lineage: Eukaryota; Viridiplantae; Streptophyta; Magnoliopsida; Malpighiales; Euphorbiaceae.
GAAAAGAGGAAGGUCAAUGCACAAGCUGUGCUAAAUGAGAGCAAUUAAAACAAGCAAAGCCUAAGAAAAAUCAAGAAGCAACUAAAGUUUAUUUGAAUGCAUACACAAAGAACACAAUAAAGUACAGAUUUUGUGUUUCAAAACUAUAAGUUCACCCAAGAAACCUUUUAAGAUUCUGAAUUUGUGCCUCCUUGCAAAGGUCCACAGUAUCCAAAAAGACACAUUUUGCAA